AUGACCUCUGUGUCCAUUCUCAUCCUUGUGAUGCUAUUCACACCUAGACUAACAGAAGCACAGUCAGUGACUCAGCCUGAAGACCGGGUCUCUGUCUCUGAAGGGUCUCCAGUGGAGCUCAAAUGCACUUAUUCCUAUUCUGGGGCCCCUUUUCUCUUCUGGUAUGUCUGGUAUCCCAACCAAGAGCUUCAACUCCUCCUGAGACAUUCUUCAGGGGAAAGCAACAAAGGUUUUCAGGCUAAUCUCAAUAAGACUGAAACCUCCUACAAUCUGAGGAAGCUCCAUGUUCAAAAGGAAGAUUCAGCUGUGUACUUCUGUGUUCUGAGUGACACAGUGGGAGGUCUCAUAAGGGGAGCUGAACACAAACCUGCAGAGACAGUCUUUGAAAUGUUCCUCUAA
Molecule: non-coding RNA, 399 nt
Organism: Trichosurus vulpecula (common brushtail)
Lineage: Eukaryota; Metazoa; Chordata; Mammalia; Diprotodontia; Phalangeridae
Source: the annotation of a RefSeq genome assembly